Molecule: non-coding RNA, 1777 nt
Organism: Pelobates cultripes (western spadefoot toad)
Lineage: Eukaryota; Metazoa; Chordata; Amphibia; Anura; Pelobatidae
Source: the annotation of a GenBank genome assembly
CUCAGUUUAUGCACUGUGAUUUAAUUCACAAACAUUUAAUGUUUCGAAUAGCCAUUGUCAAUGUCCAGGGCUCUAGGCAGGUACUGUGACGAAGUGCCUUUCGCCACUUGUGCCUGGAGGACUGCUUGCCCGCCUCUUGCCCUGUGACUAUGGCCCCUGGGAUGUAUUGCCCUUUAAAGACAUGAUUUGGGCAUAAUGGAUUUGUGUUGUGCUGCUGCUGGCCCUUUAAGAACCAUUUGGGGACAUACUGUGGAGUUACUGGGUGGCCACCAUUUCCUGUAUCAGAAGCACAUGGUGAGAACAAUGGAUGGCGGCCAUUUUAACUCAGACACUGUGUGGACUUUUCAACACGGUGCCAUCUCGCCAGUAUUUGGUGCACAGAGACAUCGUGCAGUGGUUUUGGACUAUACAGCAGGGGACACAUUAUAAAGUGAUUGUUUUUCAUUUAGCCUGUAUAUGUUCUGCAGAAUCUGCAUUAAACUGUAUCUUCCAAAGUACUGAACGGAUCUGGGUGAAUUUUGGAUAUGUGGUUCACCCAGAUCCCCCGGUUCCAAGGAUAUACUUUUUAUGGGGUUAGUGCAUGUUUUGGGGUCCCUGUGAUGUAUAUUUUAGAAGUUAUGAAUGCUGUAAAAAUUGUACUAUUUCUGGCCAGCAGAUAAUUGAGCUUUGUGUAUUGUAAAAACUCAAUUAUCUAGCCUGGCCCAGAGGAGGAGUUUUGUGUUGCAUAAAUUGUGAGUUCUGUGUGCCAGUAAAUCAGUCUUGUUCCAGCAUUAAGCCUUGGCUCAUGUUUGGGGGAAGGGAUACCUACACUCUGGGGAUUGCUAUAAUCAUUUACUCCCCAGAGGAAGCUCUUGCAAUAGCUUGAUUUGUUCCUGUUCCUGCUCUCUGGGGAAAGAGAGGUUCACCCACUGGAAGCUGGAUCCUGGCCUUGGGUCCAGGGUGGGUGGAAACAGCAGAGACCCGGCGCAGUUGCAUCGCUGGAAGUGGGGUCUGCAGUGCUGAUGGUGUCGGUUGGAGUGCUUGGAGUCCUCAGCGAGCACUAGGAGCAUCGAUUGGCGGAGGUACUCAGUCGGAGUGCCAGCGUUCCGUCACAGGUACCUUGAGCCAAAAUUAUUUUGUGUGAUGACAAGUACAUUAUCAUUAUAGACAAGUAGAUUGGGCUAGUGCUCUAGUCCCUUGAAUAAGUAAAUUUUAAAAAAAUAUUUCCACAUACCGAGAUCCUGAAACUGCAGUUCUUGAUUUGGCCUGCCAAUGCUUAAAACAUGCAAAUAUGUUUAUGUAAAUUUUUAGCUUUCUGUAUAAAAUAAAUGAUAUGAUAUAAAAAAGAGAGAAACUGCUCAUACUGAGGCACCAUAAGCCAAUAUUUUAAUAUUCCAAAUUGAUUGUAUUAAGCUUUAUAGAGAAAAUUUAGAUUUGGAGGGCACAACCCAUUAGGAUAGGUGUUUUGUCAAUAAGCCUCAGAUUCUUCCCAGAGGUUUCUUAAUUUGGCUAGUCAAGUUUAAUUGCAAAGUGACAUCUACAGGGCAAACAUUUACUAGCAAUGCUAAAGGAAAAAAAAAAAUUCAAAUAACAUUCAACCCCUUUAAAGACCGGACUGUUUUAGCCAUGUUGUACAUUAAGGACCAGGGCUGUUUUAACACUUUUUUGUUGUGUUUGUGUUUAGCUGUAAUUUUCCUCUCUCUCAUUUACUGUUCCAAUACAAAUUAUACUUUUUUUUUUCAGGACAAGAAGGGCCUUCUUUACACACCAUUAUUUGUAACAUGUCAUAUAAUUUACU